GGUCAUUCGUAAGAUAGCACUGUUGCUCAAAUACAUGUUGUCUUUCCUUUUCUCUGGAGUUUGUCCAGGAAAACUAUAGUUUCUACUGAUUCCCAGAUUAUAGUCAGUGCUAUAUUUCAUUUUGAUUUUUCUUUUGUUUUUAAAGAUUAUAAUGUGAUUGCAUCAUUUCCCCCUUCCUUUUCCUGCCUCCAAGCCUUACCUCUCCUUGUCAUUCAAAUUCAUGGCCUCUUUUUUUCAUUGAUUGUUACAUAUACACAUGUGUAAAAGUACGUAUAUAUGUAUAUUCCCAAAUAAGUACAACCUGUCCAGUCCAUAUGAUCUUACUCACGUAUGUUUUCAGAGGAAACUAUUUGGUACUAGAUAACCGAUUAGUAAGUGCAUUCUCCCCCAGGGAAGACUGUUUCUCCUCUGAGCAUUCCCUAGUUGCUUGCAGUUCUUUGAAGCCUUGUGGUCUUUCCUUGUCCGCUUUGGCACACCUAUGGCUGUUGUCCUUGUCCAGCCUGUUGUUAGGCAGUCAUAUCCGAGACUUUAUGGUUCUGGCAUUACUAAGAGACAGUCUCACAGCAAAUUCAUUGAUGUUCAGGCUGGAAAGAUAUCUCUCUCAGUGGUUAAGAGCACUAGCUACUCUUCCAGAGGUUCUGAGUUCGUUUCCCAGCAGCCUCAUGGUGGCUCACAACCAUCUGUAAUAGAAUCUGAUUUCUUCUUCUGGUGUGCAUGAAAACAGAGCACUCAUAUAUAUUAAAUAAA
This 747-nucleotide long non-coding RNA is filed under the name Rattus norvegicus (Norway rat). RNAcentral's name for it is "long non-coding RNA NONRATT001230". The record is from RNAcentral. Lineage: Eukaryota; Metazoa; Chordata; Mammalia; Rodentia; Muridae.